CAGGACCUGCUGAACCUGGGGCCCUAUAGGAGAGCACUGAUGGCCCACCCCUGAACAUGGCCCUGGUCUUCAUGUCUGCAUCAGCCUCAGCCAUCUCAAGACCACAACGGGAACACAGCCAAGUCAGAGAAGGAAGACCAAAAGCACCGGGGCCCUUUAUAUUAUUAAGCUGCUAAAUUAACUAAUCUUGGAAACUUCUAGACUCUACAAUUCUUGUUGUAUGAGGUUUAACAAGUUCAAGUGAGAAGAUAUUGGCCAAAUACAACACAGAGGCUAAACACAACACCUAUGUUGAUUGUUUGGUGCAUAAGAAUUGAGAUGAUGGAAAGAGGUCCCUGUGAACUUCAGGAAUAGCUUGAAGCUAACUGAUAAAACAGAGUGGGUUGACAAUUAUUCUCUGGACUUUUUGGUAACCAAGAACUUCUAGCAACUAACCCUGGCAUGACCACCAGAAUCUGCAGGGCUGAGAGAGGAAAGAAAGGCAAAAGUGGAUGAAUGCAGCUGAAGAUGGUAUGGAACUCCUAUCACAUUCCAAGUGCUGUGUUGAUAUCUGGAGAUAUAGACAAGAUUGAAGCAGAUGCAGAGUCUUUCACAUGAAUAUUUGAAUCAGGUAUUAAUGGAAUGGCUUCAAUAAUACAGUAAAAUUAAGAUAUUCAAAGAAGCAGGAUGCAGGUGAAGGGUAUUGGCCUCAGCUUUAGAGACCAGAGGUUAAAUCUCGAUGCUGCCACAAAACAAUCCACGUAAGUCAGUAAACAAUGCUUUUUAAAUUAUU
RNAcentral lists this long non-coding RNA (772 nucleotides) under Pongo abelii (Sumatran orangutan). Its description in RNAcentral is "lincRNA". The record is from RNAcentral. Lineage: Eukaryota; Metazoa; Chordata; Mammalia; Primates; Hominidae.